RNAcentral lists this ribosomal RNA (469 nucleotides) under uncultured bacterium. RNAcentral describes it as "partial 16S ribosomal RNA". It matches the Rfam family "Bacterial small subunit ribosomal RNA", at positions 28 to 508 of the family's 1533-position model. The record is from RNAcentral.
GACGAACGCUGGCGGCGUGCUUAACACAUGCAAGUCGAACGGAAAGGCCCUGCUUUUGUGGGGUGCUCGAGUGGCGAACGGGUGAGUAACACGUGAGUAACCUGCCCUUGACUUUGGGAUAACUUCAGGAAACUGGGGCUAAUACCGGAUAGGAGCUCCUGCUGCAUGGUGGGGGUUGGAAAGUUUCGGCGGUUGGGGAUGGACUCGCGGCUUAUCAGCUUGUUGGUGGGGUAGUGGCUUACCAAGGCUUUGACGGGUAGCCGGCCUGAGAGGGUGACCGGCCACAUUGGGACUGAGAUACGGGCCAGACUCCUACGGGAGGCAGCAGGGGGGAAUAUUGCACAAUGGGCGGAAGCCUGAUGCAGCAACGCCGCGUGCGGGAUGACGGCCUUCGGGUUGUAAACCGCUUUCGCCUGUGACGAAGCGUGAGUGACGGUAAUGGGUAAAGAAGCACCGGCUAACUACGUGC